RNAcentral lists this long non-coding RNA (737 nucleotides) under Brassica rapa (field mustard). Its description in RNAcentral is "long non-coding RNA (BRAP_LNC007677)". The record is from RNAcentral. Lineage: Eukaryota; Viridiplantae; Streptophyta; Magnoliopsida; Brassicales; Brassicaceae.
AUUUGAACAAGAUUUUACCGCAAGGCUUUUCGUAAAGAUAUCUUUACGAAGAUUAGUCUUCGUAAAAACGUUCAUGCUGAUUUUUACGGACUUUCAGACAUUGAUUCCGUUGUGACCGAUUUUGACCCCAACACAGGCUUCCAUGAAUCAGAACUUAAUGGUGGUUGCCACCAAGCUCCGUUCACUUCUUUUUGACCUAUAUCCAAGAAUUCUUUGUGAAGCGAGCCUUGAAGAUUGCCGCCUCCAAGUCCCGUUCGAAUCCUUUUAUUGGAGUCUCUGUGAAUCAAGCCUUAAUGGUUUUAGCCACCAAGUCGUGUUCAGACUCAUCUUAAUUAAACACUAGAUCUUUUUUUUUUCUUUUUUUUGAAACAUAGAAAUAUUAAUUACUAGCUAAUCUAGGGUCGGAAUUAGAGAGAGGAAUGUGAUAUAUAAUUCUACACAAGGCUUUUACCUUCCAGACUUGUCUGAAGAAUCCGAUCCCAUGUAUACCAAACCCCAAGACAACCAGUGAAGUCAGGUUAGUGUUGGAGGUUAGCUUUGGUUCUUUCAAACAAGCUAGCAAGUGUGUAUAGUUGACUGGUUUAUCCACUUUAGCAUCUACAGUACUAUCUGCAAUCAGUAAAUCUAGAAUGGUGCUAGAAAGUGGUUAGACCUUCAAGUAGAAAUCAUUAGUUCAUAAUCCCCUUCUUGACUCAAUAAAAUUAUUUUUGAACAGAUUUUUGACAAAAACUCAAGAA